GACGAACGCUGGCGGCGUGCCUAAUACAUGCAAGUCGAGCGAAGUUUUUCCGGUGCUUGCACUAGAAAAACUUAGCGGCGAACGGGUGAGUAACACGUAAAGAACCUGCCUCAUAGACUGGGACAACUAUUGGAAACGAUAGCUAAUACCGGAUAACAGUAUUUCUCGCAUGAGAGAUAUUUAAAAGUUGGUUAUGCUAACACUAUGAGAUGGCUUUGCGGUGCAUUAGCUAGUUGGUGGGGUAAAGGCCCACCAAGGCGACGAUGCAUAGCCGACCUGAGAGGGUGAUCGGCCACACUGGGACUGAGACACGGCCCAGACUCCUACGGGAGGCAGCAGUAGGGAAUCCUCCGCAAUGGGCGAAAGCCUGACGGAGCAACGCCGCGUGAGUGAAGAAGGAUUUCGGUUCGUAAAGCUCUGUUGUUGGGGAAGAAUGGAUAUGUAGUAACUAUACAUGUAAGAGACGGUACCUAACCAGAAAGCCACGGCUAACUACGUG
Molecule: ribosomal RNA, 499 nt
Filed under: uncultured bacterium
Lineage: Bacteria
Description: partial 16S ribosomal RNA
Rfam family: Bacterial small subunit ribosomal RNA
Source: RNAcentral